Molecule: transfer RNA, 72 nt
Filed under: Parcubacteria group bacterium
Lineage: Bacteria
Description: tRNA-Cys
Rfam family: tRNA
About the family: Transfer RNA (tRNA) molecules are approximately 80 nucleotides in length. Their secondary structure includes four short double-helical elements and three loops (D, anti-codon, and T loops). Further hydrogen bonds mediate the characteristic L-shaped molecular structure. tRNAs have two regions of fundamental functional importance: the anti-codon, which is responsible for specific mRNA codon recognition, and the 3' end, to which the tRNAs corresponding amino acid is attached (by aminoacyl-tRNA synthetases). tRNAs cope with the degeneracy of the genetic code in two manners: having more than one tRNA (with a specific anti-codon) for a particular amino acid; and 'wobble' base-pairing, i.e. permitting non-standard base-pairing at the 3rd anti-codon position.
Source: RNAcentral
GGCCAGGUAGCCAAGUGGUAAGGCAGGGGCCUGCAAAGCCUCUAUUCGUGGGUUCGAUCCCCGCUCUGGCCU